Molecule: long non-coding RNA, 320 nt
Filed under: Numida meleagris (helmeted guineafowl)
Lineage: Eukaryota; Metazoa; Chordata; Aves; Galliformes; Numididae
Description: lncRNA (ENSNMEG00000004988.1)
Source: RNAcentral
AUGCUCUGCAGUGUCCCUCGGAAAGAGAUGUGGACUCUCUCUGAUCUCCUGCCUGGGUGCCUGCUGUUGGUUGUAUGGCAAUGCUGGCUCCUGAGCAGUGUGCUGUUCAAGAAGGCACUAUCAGAUCACCACCCCCUGGUGUUUUUCUGUCCUCUUCGAAUUCUGGUCAGGAGCAUGGUGUAUCAAAUUUCAGGGAGAAGGAACAGUGAGUAGACAGCUAGCAAGAUGUCUGGGAUAAGAAGCUGUGACUCCUGUUAUGGUAGCUUAAAACAGACCGAAGUGAGCUACAACAGCAGAACUCCCCAGUGAUUAUGUUCCAG